Ribosomal RNA from Ovis aries (sheep), 1139 nucleotides. It matches the Rfam family "Eukaryotic small subunit ribosomal RNA". The record is from Rfam. Lineage: Eukaryota; Metazoa; Chordata; Mammalia; Artiodactyla; Bovidae.
UUUCUGUGAUCAAACUGUGGUACAUACAUACAAUGAAAAUGUAACAAUACUUUUUAUAACAUGGAUGAAUCUCAAAAACAUUAUGCUGCUUGUCCCUGCCCCUUGCCUCUUAGAACAUCCUUAAUGUGCUCAGCUGAGUGUUCUGUGGGCCCAGAGUGUUUACUUUUUUAAAAAAAGUAUUCAAAGCCAUUCCAAGCCCCUUGAAGAACACAGUUAUGAAUAAGGAAAUAGGACCACUGUUUUGUUGGUCUUCAGAAUUGAAGCCAUGGUGUGAGGGAUAGCUAGGGGAUAUUUGUAUUGUGCUGCUAGAGGUGAAAUUCAUGACCAGACAGAAGAAAUAUAAAAUAUGAGUAUUUAUCAAGAAUAUUUGAGUUUCAUCCUUGAUUAAGGUAGGGACAAAGCAAUACAAAAUUAGACUGUGAUAAUGUAAUUCCCAUGACUUUUUAGGAUAGCUUCUGAGAAACCAAUCUUUGAGUUCAAGGGGCUGCAUGGCUGCAAAGCUUAAACUUCAGGGAAUUGAGGAAGAGAACCCCCAGAAGUGGUACCCGUGGUAUAAUUUGACUCAGCUGGGGGAUCCUUGGCUAGUCUAGACAGAAUAUAUAGAUACAUACAGUGUACUGUCCAUUCUAAGUUGGUAAAGAAAUUUGUUUGGUUAAUUCCGAUAAGGAAGGAGAUUCUGGCACGCUAAGUAGUUACAUGACCCUGAGCAGCCAGUGUCCCUCAGCUUCUUACAGGAACAAGUUGUGUUCAGUCACUCCAGAUGGAGUAUUAACCAGUCCGUGAUAACUUUGGAUGGCCAUGGAUGCCUCAGCUGUACUGUCCAGCUCCAGGUAUGCCUAACAGAUGCCAGCAGGUUUGGGUAACUCAUUGAACUCCAUUCUCCUAUCUGGAACUGCAGUUAUUCCUCCUGAAGGAAGAGUUACCAGUAAGUGCAGGUCAUAAACUUGCAUUAAGUCCCUGCCCUUCAUCCAGCCAGCCAGUCUCUCUUAACAACUGUACAGUGCAGUGAAACACUGGGGUCAGCCCCUCUGCAAAGGCCAUGACCCUGAUGGAGCUCUGAGAAGAUGGUUGAAUUUAACUUUGUAAAAAAAGUCAAAGUCACCACAAGGCUUCCUUAAAAGAACAUGGGAGUGUCAAGA